Molecule: ribosomal RNA, 373 nt
Filed under: uncultured organism
Description: partial 16S ribosomal RNA
Rfam family: Bacterial small subunit ribosomal RNA
Source: RNAcentral
GUAGGGUGGCGAGCGUUGUCCGGAAUUAUUGGGGCGUAAAGCGCGCGCAGGCGGUCCUUUAAGUCCGAUGUGAAAGCCCACGGCUCAACCGUGGAGGGUCAUUGGAAACUGGGGGACUUGAGUACAGAAGAGGAAAGCGGAAUUCCAAGUGUAGCGGUGAAAUGCGUAGAGAUUUGGAGGAACACCAGUGGCGAAGGCGGCUUUCUGGUCUGUAACUGACGCUGAGGCGCGAAAGCGUGGGGAGCAAACAGGAUUAGAUACCCUGGUAGUCCACGCCGUAAACGAUGAGUGCUAAGUGUUAGGGGGUUUCCGCCCCUUAGUGCUGCAGCUAACGCAUUAAGCACUCCGCCUGGGGAGUACGGCCGCAAGGCUG